UUGAACGCUGGCGGCAUGCCUUACACAUGCAAGUCGAACGGUAGAGUAGCAAUACUCGAGAGUGGCGAACGGGUGAGUAAUAUAUCGGAACGUGCCCAGUCGUGGGGGAUAACGCAGCGAAAGCUGUGCUAAUACCGCAUACGAUCUACGGAUGAAAGCAGGGGACCGCAAGGCCUUGCGCGGACGGAGCGGCCGAUGGCAGAUUAGCUAGAUGGUGAGGUAAAGGCUCACCAUGGCGACGAUCAGUAGCUGGUCUGAGAGGAUGAUCAGCCACACUGGGACUGAGACACGGCCCAGACUCCUACGGGAGGCAGCAGUGGGGAAUUUUGGACAAUGGGCGAAAGCCUGAUCCAGCCAUUCCGCGUGAGUGAAGAAGGCCUUCGGGUUGUAAAGCUCUUUCGGCAGGAACGAAACGGUGGGGUCUAAUACGCCUUACUAAUGACGGUACCUGAAGAAGAAGCACCGGCUAACUACGU
RNAcentral lists this ribosomal RNA (476 nucleotides) under uncultured bacterium. Its description in RNAcentral is "bacterial SSU rRNA". It matches the Rfam family "Bacterial small subunit ribosomal RNA", at positions 30 to 506 of the family's 1533-position model. The record is from RNAcentral.